This 468-nucleotide ribosomal RNA is filed under the name uncultured bacterium. Its description in RNAcentral is "partial 16S ribosomal RNA". It matches the Rfam family "Bacterial small subunit ribosomal RNA", at positions 28 to 507 of the family's 1533-position model. The record is from RNAcentral.
GACGAACGCUGGCGGCGUGCUUAACACAUGCAAGUCGAACGGAAAGGCCCUGCUUUUGUGGGGUGCUCGAGUGUCGAACGGGUGAGUAACACGUGAGUAACCUGCCCUUGACUUUGGGAUAACUUCAGGAAACUGGGGCUAAUACCGGAUAGGAGCUCCUGCUGCAUGGUGGGGGUUGGAAAGUUUCGGCGGUUGGGGAUGGACUCGCGGCUUAUCAGCUUGUUGGUGGGGUAGUGGCUUACCAAGGCUUUGACGGGUAGCCGGCCUGAGAGGGUGACCGGCCACAUUGGGACUGAGAUACGGCCCAGAAUCCUACGGGAGGCAGCAGUGGGGAAUAUUGCACAAUGGGCGGAAGCCUGAUGCAGCAACGCCGCGUGCGGGAUGACGGCCUUCGGGUUGUAAACCGCUUUCGCCUGUGACGAAGCGUGAGUGACGGUAAUGGGUAAAGAAGCACCGGCUAACUACGUG